UCUUGUAAAAUUUAUGUAAUUUGGUUCAAUUAGUAAAUUUGUAUUGGCUACUCAUUCACAUGUACCUUGUUGAGAAACUACAUCUAACAGAAAAGAUUAUGAUACACUGUGUCUCACAGGUAUUACAAUUUCUUGGGUCGCACCUUGGAAAAACUUCAUUCUUAACCACAUAUACAAAUAGUUAUAGACAUUUACCAACUCAUUAGUUUUUUCAUCAAUUGAUUGGCUCAUUGUUUCAUUCAUUUAUUCCACAUGUAUUUACUGAGCUCUUGAUUUGUAUCAACACCCCAUUGUAGUUGUUCACUGUAAGUAACAUUGUUUAAGUAAUUGUUGGUGAGGAAAUAAUAUUCUCCUAAGUGACCAGCUAAUAGCCUGAGUAAUUCCCUUGGACUAUCGUCUCAGUGUAAUUACAGAGAUUUCUGCAAUAGAGAGAAUCUGACAGAUUAAAAACUCAGUCAUGGACCUGAAAAUAGUAUGUUUGAAAACCAAUUCAGAGGCACAGCUUGGUUGUCUUUGGUUAGCCCACCAGACUAUUGGUUCUUAACAAUAUCAAGAAAUCCAACUAGGGCUGAAGUCUUAGGUUUUUACAGUGAUUCCAGUGAUAAGACAAUAAAUGGUAACAGGGCUAGAGUUGCUCAGGGAAGAAAAUCCACAGAUCCUGAAUGAGUCUGAGGUAUCUCCUUUGUGACAAGUCCAUCCAGUGUAGCUCCUGGCCCCAGUGUGUGGCUCUGGUGUUCCUAGAGGUGGGGACUCCCUGGUG
Molecule: long non-coding RNA, 760 nt
Filed under: Marmota monax (woodchuck)
Lineage: Eukaryota; Metazoa; Chordata; Mammalia; Rodentia; Sciuridae
Source: RNAcentral